RNAcentral lists this ribosomal RNA (253 nucleotides) under uncultured bacterium. RNAcentral's name for it is "partial 16S ribosomal RNA". It matches the Rfam family "Bacterial small subunit ribosomal RNA", at positions 524 to 776 of the family's 1533-position model. The record is from RNAcentral.
UACGUAGGUGGCAAGCGUUGUCCGGAAUUAUUGGGCGUAAAGCGCGCGCAGGCGGCCUUUUAAGUCUGAUGUGAAAGCCCACGGCUCAACCGUGGAAGGUCAUUGGAAACUGAAAGGCUUGAGUACAGAAGAGGAAAGCGGAAUUCCACGUGUAGCGGUGAAAUGCGUAGAGAUGUGGAGGAACACCAGUGGCGAAGGCGGCUUUCUGGUCUGUAACUGACGCUGAGGAGCGAAAGCGUGGGUAGCAAACAGG